AUCAUGCUGUCGAUACCACGGAUAUAAAGAAUUCAUUAUGAGAAUACAUAACUAUUCUUUUGAUAUAUUUUGACAAAUCAAGCUCAAGCAGGGAAUACAGCAAUUAUUGUAAAUUACUGGAUACAGAUGACCACCUGCAUACAGUGUAGACUAUGACUGACCAGAAGCUCUGCUUUAAUUCUAAUAUUUUCUCCGGGUUCGCGAAAUUAGGAGAUGAAAUUAUUCUUGGUCAUCUCCUCGUCAGUCGCUAUUAUUUCAGGUUCAAGCCCAAUGAUGUAAGGUGUCGCUCACUACUGCUAUAGAAUAUCAUGCUGUCGAUACCACGGAUAUAAAGAAUUCAUUAUGAGAAUACACAACUAUUCUUUUGAUAUAUUUUGACAAAUCAAGCUCAAGCAGGGAAUACAGCAAUUAUUGUAAAUUACUGGAUACAGAUGACCACCUGCAUACAGUGUAGACUAUGACUGACCAGAAGCUCUGCCUUAAUUCUAAUAUUUUCUCCCAGUUCGCGAAAUUAGGAGAUGAAAUUAUUCUUGGUCAUCUCCUCGUCAGUCGCUAUUAUUUCAGGUUCAAGCCCAAUGAUGUAAGGUGUCGCUCACUACUGCUAUAGAAUAUCAUGCUGUCGAUACCACGGAUAUAAAGAAUUCAUUAUGAGAAUACACAACUAUUCUUUUGAUAUAUUUUGACAAAUCAAGCUCAAGCAGGGAAUACAGCAAUUAUUGUAAAUU
Molecule: long non-coding RNA, 725 nt
Organism: Sitophilus oryzae (rice weevil)
Lineage: Eukaryota; Metazoa; Arthropoda; Insecta; Coleoptera; Curculionidae
Exons: 4
Source: RefSeq, a predicted model, not a curated record